RNAcentral lists this ribosomal RNA (812 nucleotides) under uncultured bacterium. RNAcentral's name for it is "bacterial SSU rRNA". It matches the Rfam family "Bacterial small subunit ribosomal RNA", at positions 8 to 796 of the family's 1533-position model. The record is from RNAcentral.
AGAGUUUGAUCCUGGCUCAGAACAAACGCUGGCGGCGUGCCUAACACAUGCAAGUCGUACGAGAAAGUCUGCUUCGGCGGAUGAGUAAAGUGGCGCACGGGUGAGUAACGCGUGGAUAAUCUGCCCUUUAGUUGGGGAUAACUCAUCGAAAGGUGGGCUAAUACCGAAUAAUACUGUUCCUUCCUCGGGAGGACAGUCAAAGGAGGCCUCUGUUUACAAGCUUUCACUGGAGGAUGAGUCCGCGUACCAUUAGCUAGUUGGUAGGGUAAUGGCCUACCAAGGCGACGAUGGUUAGCUGGUCUGAGAGGAUGAUCAGCCACACUGGAACUGAGAUACGGUCCAGACUCCUACGGGAGGCAGCAGUAGGGAAUCUUCCACAAUGGACGAAAGUCUGAUGGAGCAACGCCGCGUGAGUGAUGAAGGUUUUCGGAUCGUAAAACUCUGUUGUAAGGGAAGAACAAGUACGAGAGGUAAUGCUCGUACCUUGACGGUACCUUGCGAGAAAGCCACGGCUAACUACGUGCCAGCAGCCGCGGUAAUACGUAGGUGGCAAGCGUUGUCCGGAAUUAUUGGGCGUAAAGCGCGCGCAGGCGGCCUUUUAAGUCUGAUGUGAAAGCCCCCGGCUCAACCGGGGAGGGUCAUUGGAAACUGGAAGGCUUGAGUACAGAAGAGAAGAGUGGAAUUCCAUGUGUAGCGGUGAAAUGCGUAGAGAUGUGGAGGAACACCAGUGGCGAAGGCGACUCUUUGGUCUGUAACUGACGCUGAGGCGCGAAAGCGUGGGGAGCAAACAGGAUUAGAUACCCUGGUAGUCC